RNAcentral lists this transfer RNA (73 nucleotides) under Cordylochernes scorpioides. RNAcentral's name for it is "tRNA-Thr". It matches the Rfam family "tRNA". Rfam says of the family: Transfer RNA (tRNA) molecules are approximately 80 nucleotides in length. Their secondary structure includes four short double-helical elements and three loops (D, anti-codon, and T loops). The record is from RNAcentral. Lineage: Eukaryota; Metazoa; Arthropoda; Arachnida; Pseudoscorpiones; Chernetidae.
UCCAGGGUAGCCUAGUGGACAUGGCAUCUGCUCAGUAAGCAUAACAUUGUGGGUUCGAUUCCCAUCCCUGGAC